RNAcentral lists this ribosomal RNA (445 nucleotides) under uncultured bacterium. RNAcentral's name for it is "bacterial SSU rRNA". It matches the Rfam family "Bacterial small subunit ribosomal RNA", at positions 354 to 796 of the family's 1533-position model. The record is from RNAcentral.
GUGAGGAAUAUUGGUCAAUGGGCGGAAGCCUGAACCAGCCAAGUAGCGUGCAGGAUGACGGCCCUACGGGUUGUAAACUGCUUUUAUACGGGAAUAACGCGCCUUACGUGUAGGGCUUUGCAUGUACCGUAUGAAUAAGGACCGGCUAAUUCCGUGCCAGCAGCCGCGGUAAUACGGAAGGUCCGGGCGUUAUCCGGAUUUAUUGGGUUUAAAGGGAGCGUAGGCCGCAUGUCAAGCGUGCUGUGAAAUGUCCGGGCUCAACCCGGGCCUUGCAGCGCGAACUGGCGUGCUUGAGUCCGCGGAAAGCAGGCGGAAUUCGUCGUGUAGCGGUGAAAUGCUUAGAUAUGACGAAGAACCCCGAUUGCGAAGGCAGCUUGCUGCAGCGGAACUGACGCUGAUGCUCGAAAGCGCGGGUAUCGAACAGGAUUAGAAACCCUAGUAGUCC